CAACUGGAGAUAACUUUCUAGCACCUCACCAUGGGGAAGGAUGUAUUCAUAUGCCUUCACCAGCACAUGCAUUAAACAUGCAGAGAGUUACACAAGUUCUUACCACCUUGGGGCACCAUUCAGGUAAAAUCUCAGCUCAUCUUACUUGCUUAUUUGUAUACACUAACACCUGUGCAUGCUUUUGUCCACGUUGUUCCUUUGACGAUGAAUAAAUACCCCUUUUCUUUCUUUCUACAUUAAGGGUGCCUUUUCAUCUGAUUAAAUUUAUAAUGAACAGGGACAUUGCGGUUGUCCCAAGUGGAUGGUAUGAUGAUAGGAUGGUUUUCUGGCCCAGCUAUAAAAACACCGACAGAAUUGAAAGGGCCGCUUUAAAUGAGGAGCAGCAUGAGCCAAACUGGCCAAGAUUUGACGUUUCUGUUGUCCGAA
Molecule: long non-coding RNA, 426 nt
Organism: Entelurus aequoreus (snake pipefish)
Lineage: Eukaryota; Metazoa; Chordata; Actinopteri; Syngnathiformes; Syngnathidae
Exons: 3
Source: RefSeq, a predicted model, not a curated record